UACGGGGGGGGCAAGCGUUGUUCGGAAUUACUGGGCGUAAAGGGCUCGUAGGCGGCCAACUAAGUCAGACGUGAAAUCCCUCGGCUUAACCGGGGAACUGCGUCUGAUACUGGAUGGCUGGAGUUUGGGAGAGGGGUGCGGAAUUCCAGGUGUAGCGGUGAAAUGCGUAGAUAUCUGGAGGAACACCGGUGGCGAAGGCGGCAUCCUGGACCAAUACUGACGCUGAGGAGCGAAAGCCAGGGGAGCAAACGGG
This 253-nucleotide ribosomal RNA is filed under the name uncultured bacterium. RNAcentral's name for it is "partial 16S ribosomal RNA". It matches the Rfam family "Bacterial small subunit ribosomal RNA", at positions 524 to 776 of the family's 1533-position model. The record is from RNAcentral.